Molecule: ribosomal RNA, 492 nt
Filed under: uncultured bacterium
Lineage: Bacteria
Description: partial 16S ribosomal RNA
Rfam family: Bacterial small subunit ribosomal RNA
Source: RNAcentral
AGUGAACGCUGGCGGUAGGCCUAACACAUGCAAGUCGAACGGCAGCACAGUAAGAGCUUGCUCUUACGGGUGGCGAGUGGCGGACGAGUGAGGAAUACAUCGGAAUCUACUUUUUCGUGGGGGAUAACGUAGGGAAACUUACGCUAAUACCGCAUACGACCUACGGGUGAAAGCAGGGGAUCUUCGGACCUUGCGCGAUUGAAUGAGCCGAUGUCGGAUUAGCUAGUUGGCGGGGUAAAGGCCCACCGAGGCGACGAUCCGUAGCUGGUCUGAGAGGAGGAUCAGCCACACUGGAACUGAGACACGGUCCAGACUCCUAUGGGAGGCAGCAGUGGGGAAUAUUGGACAAUGGGCGCAAGCCUGAUCCAGCCAUACCGCGUGGGUGAAGAAGGCCUUCGGGUUGUAAAGCCCUUUUGUUGGGAAAGAAAAGCAGCAGGUUAAUACCCCGCUGUUCUGACGGUACCCAAAGAAUAAGCACCGGCUAACUUCGUG